CUUCACCAAGAGAGAUGGUGGCGGUUGCAUCUUUGGCAACCUUGAUAGACUUGCAAGGCAAUUCAUUUAUGAUGGCGGUUGCAUCUUUCACAACCUUGAUAGGAUUGCCGGCCAAGGAUAUGCUGAGAGCUAAAUUGAUGCUUAUGCUUCUUUUUUUAAAAAAAUCUCAUCAUUCUAAUUUUUUUUUUCUAUAAAAAAAUACCUUAGAAAAGCCUGCAUAAUUAUUUUUUUAAUGAAAAACAUUAUCCAUGUACAGAGUUCUACUUGCUAAAGGAUACGCUAAUAUGUUUCCCCGUUUUGAUAUCUACGACUCUGUAGGUUGUUUCCCGUUGUGAAAGUCCUGCUUUUGCUUGUGUGCGUGCAUUGUUCUUGUUGCUUCACAGGUCCCACAAGCAAUGGAUCUUCUUCUUGCUGAGUUCCAUAGAGCUUGCAUCUACACUGUCCCAAAGCACAGUCGUUUUUAAUCCCAGUAGCUUUACACAAGUGUGUUUAAAUAAUACAUCAAAAUAAAUCAAGAGGAUCUUGAAUACCCUUUAUUUGGUACAUGCUUUAUGAACAAUAGAGGAUACAAAAGGCAAGAUCAGAGAGACGGGAAACUGGGGGAAAGAGUCCUUCUCUUAAAAUUCUAUUAGGGUGAUAUGGAGUCUGCUGUCAACCUCCUGUUGCAAUCCUCUAUAAUAGCGCAUCUGAAGGAGUUUCUAUUAUGUAAAUGAUUUACUUAGAGAACCUAUCCAAUAUCCAUGUCCCAGUUUCAAUCUUGAAACAAUUUCAGAAAGUGGAAAGAUCGUCAACUGGGAAGAGCCUAAAGUUAAAUCUGCGUCGAAGUGAUUGUUUUCUGAAGUUUCCUCUAAGUUGCAGUCCCUCACUUGUGGGCAGCCAUCAAUUUUUCACCGGAAGGAAAAGCGCUACAAUUUUCUCCUAGCUAUUUUCGUGGUUCUUCGUUACUUUGGAACUUUAUGACAGAAUUGUUGAUGAACGAGUUUCGCACACCACUUUCAUUAAUUUAUCAACGUAUAAAUACAGAAGAAGUUAAGAAGAUUUGUUACAGAUUCUAGAGAUUGCAAUUGAUAUAUACAGCUAAGAAAGAUUUUAAACAAAUCAAUUUUGAAUGAGUCAUAGCAUUAUCCUAGGACUAACAAUAACAUAGGAUAGUCAGAACACACAUUAGUCUUCUGUUAUGCCAUCUUGAGAUGGAGUACGGGUCUCCAAUCUUGAAUUUGAGAUGAAUAAAUCAUUGU
Populus nigra (black poplar) is the source of this 1238-nucleotide long non-coding RNA. RefSeq lists it as uncharacterized. Lineage: Eukaryota; Viridiplantae; Streptophyta; Magnoliopsida; Malpighiales; Salicaceae. The transcript has 3 exons. The record is from RefSeq and is a predicted model, not a curated record.